GCUCAGCUAGCUCAACGGUAGAGCAAUCGGCUGUUAACCGAUCGGUUGUAGGUUCGAAUCCUAUGCUGAGCGCCA
This 75-nucleotide transfer RNA is filed under the name Bacilli bacterium. RNAcentral's name for it is "tRNA-Asn". It matches the Rfam family "tRNA". Rfam says of the family: Transfer RNA (tRNA) molecules are approximately 80 nucleotides in length. RNAcentral also lists the same sequence under 2 other names. The record is from RNAcentral. Lineage: Bacteria; Bacillati; Bacillota; Bacilli.